Suricata suricatta (meerkat) is the source of this 647-nucleotide long non-coding RNA. RefSeq lists it as uncharacterized. The transcript is spliced from 5 exons. NCBI's taxonomy places the organism in Eukaryota, Metazoa, Chordata, Mammalia, Carnivora, Herpestidae. The record is from RefSeq and is a predicted model, not a curated record.
GCGUGGAGCGCGCGUGCGCGGCGGGACGCAGUAGCUGCUGAAGCUCACGCUGCCCCAAGGGCAGAAGAGGCCGCGGGGCUCCCUGCAGAAGAAAGAACAAGGAAGGAAGGAACAAAAGGAUCAAUGAAAAGUGAAGGGGGGAAGGGAAGGAAAAGACUUAGAAGGAGAAGUAAAGGUAACUGAAUAGCCCCUCCUGGAGACAGCGUGAGGUCGGAUCCACAGUUAAGACUGCAAUGGUUCUGCAUACCAGCUACACUUUAGAAUGACUUCGGGAGACUUUUUCAAACAUAGCAAUGACAGGCCAUGUCACAGAGCAAUUCACUCAAAGUCUCUGGAGGUGCAGUCUGAGCUCACCAGAGAUUUCCUGAGUCUCCAGCUGGCAGAGAGCAGAUUGUGCGACUUGUCAGCCUCCAUAAUUAGAAUGCAAGCCACAUGAGGCCAGGACUCUGUCUACUCACUACUUACUCGGCACCUAGAAUAUUCCUAAAAUAAACCACGCCCCUUCGAUGUAUCAAGCACGGCAUUCAACAUCCACAGGCAACAGAGAUGAAGAUCACAUGGAUCCUUUCAUCAAGCAACUCACCAGAGAAUGGAAAGGACAUUCACUGUGAUCAAAGUAGAGUGGGAUAAACACUUUGCCAGAAGUA